UUAUCUAGCACUGACAGGUCUACACGUGUACUGACCCCUCCACGUACCUCCUGGCACUGAGCAUGUAAUGGCACUCAGUAACUGUUUCUUGCCUCACAGGACCAAGAAGUCUUAACUAGCGGAGAUCCAGAUCCGAGGGGAGAGGUUUGGACCCGUGCUGACAGAGGAAAAAUGUCAAAGAAACUGCGAAGGCGUUUAAAAGUCAGAACACUACCCCACAGACAGGAGGAAUGUAGCCCUGGCCAAGGAAACACACCCAGAGGCAGUGCCGUCUGUCAACCCUCUCUUCCGUUCUGGGUCCCAUAGGGCAGAGAGGGUGGCAGUUCUGCAUCCCCUUCAGAGCAUCAGGAAAUGGCGGGCUACGGAGCUCACGCCUACUCUCUGGCUUUCAGCCACAGUCAGCUACAGGAGAAGACCCAGUAUGGUGGAAGGCAUCAUGGACGUGACGCAUAAUACCAGAGAAGACAUUCAGAAGCCAAAGUAUUGUUUUUAAAAGCAAAGAACCAGCACUAAAGUAAAAGGUAAAGGUUUACAAUAAAGCACUGUGCUCAUCAUAA
Apodemus sylvaticus (European woodmouse) is the source of this 557-nucleotide long non-coding RNA. RefSeq lists it as uncharacterized. The transcript is spliced from 3 exons. Lineage: Eukaryota; Metazoa; Chordata; Mammalia; Rodentia; Muridae. The record is from RefSeq and is a predicted model, not a curated record.